AGCCUGACGCAGCGACGCCGCGUGGGGGAUGACGGCCUUCGGGUUGUAAACCUCUUUCGCCAGGGACGAAGCUUUUGUGACGGUACCUGGAGAAGAAGCACCGGCCAACUACGUGCCAGCAGCCGCGGUAACACGUAGGGUGCGAGCGUUGUCCGGAAUUAUUGGGCGUAAAGAGCUCGUAGGCGGUGUGUCGCGUCGGCCGUGAAAACUUGGGGCUUAACUCUGAGCGUGCGGUCGAUACGGGCAUCACUUGAGUUCGGCAGGGGAGACUGGAAUUCCUGGUGUAGCGGUGAAAUGCGCAGAUAUCAGGAGGAACACCGGUGGCGAAGGCGGGUCUCUGGGCCGAUACUGACGCUGAGGAGCGAAAGCGUGGGGAGCGAACAGGAUUAGAUACCCUGGUAGUCCACGCCGUAAACGUUGGGCGCUAGGUGUGGGGACCAUUCCACGGUUUCUGUGCCGCAGCUAACGCAUUAAGCGCCCCGCCUGGGGAGUACGGCCGCAAGGCUAAAAC
RNAcentral lists this ribosomal RNA (511 nucleotides) under Pseudonocardia kongjuensis. RNAcentral's name for it is "bacterial SSU rRNA". It matches the Rfam family "Bacterial small subunit ribosomal RNA", at positions 380 to 900 of the family's 1533-position model. Lineage: Bacteria; Bacillati; Actinomycetota; Actinomycetes; Pseudonocardiales; Pseudonocardiaceae. The record is from RNAcentral.